Molecule: ribosomal RNA, 406 nt
Filed under: uncultured bacterium
Lineage: Bacteria
Description: partial 16S ribosomal RNA
Rfam family: Bacterial small subunit ribosomal RNA
Source: RNAcentral
AUUGAACGCUGGCGGCAGGCCUAACACAUGCAAGUCGAGCGAGCGGCGGACGGGUGAGUAAUGUCUGGGAAACUGCCUGAUGGAGGGGGAUAACUACUGGAAACGGUAGCUAAUACCGCAUACCAUCAGAUGUGCCCAGAUGGGAUUAGCUAGCAGUGGGGGGAAUGGCUCACCUAGGCGACGAUCCCUAGUUGGGCUGAGAUGAUGACCAGCCAACCUGGAACUGAGACACGGUCCAGACUCCGACGGGAGUCAGCAGGAGGGAAUAUUGCACAAUGGGCGCCAUCCUGAUGCAGCCAUGCCGCGUGUAUGAAGAAGGCCUUCGGGUUGUAAAGUACUUUCAGCGGGGAGGCGUUACCCGCAGAAGAAGCACCGGCUAACUCCGUGCCAGCAGCCGCGGUAAUAC